GCCUAGACAGCUCAGUUGGUGAGAGCAUGGUGCUGAUAACACCAAGGUUUCAGGUUCGAUCCCCGUCUGGGACA
RNAcentral lists this transfer RNA (74 nucleotides) under Podarcis lilfordi (Lilford's wall lizard). It matches the Rfam family "tRNA". Rfam says of the family: Transfer RNA (tRNA) molecules are approximately 80 nucleotides in length. Their secondary structure includes four short double-helical elements and three loops (D, anti-codon, and T loops). The record is from Rfam by way of RNAcentral. Lineage: Eukaryota; Metazoa; Chordata; Lepidosauria; Squamata; Lacertidae.